GGGUUGUGAGGUUAAGUGACUAAGCGUACACGGUGGAUGCCUAGGCAGUCAGAGGCGAUGAAGGGCGUGCUAAUCUGCGAAAAGCGUCGGUAAGGUGAUAUGAACCGUUACAACCGGCGAUACCCGAAUGGGGAAACCCAGUGUGUUUCGACACACUAUCAUGUCAUGAAUACAUAGUGGCAUGAGGCGAACCGGGGGAACUGAAACAUCUAAGUACCCCGAGGAAAAGAAAUCAACCGAGAUUCCCCCAGUAGCGGCGAGCGAACGGGGAGGAGCCCAGAACCUGAAUCGGCUUGUGUGUUAGUGGAAGCGUCUGGAAAGUCGCGCAGUAAAGGGUGAUAGCCCCGUACACUAAAAUGCACAGGUCGUGAGUUCGAUGAGUAGGGCGGGACACGUGACAUCCUGUCUGAAUAUGGGGGGACCAUCCUCCAAGGCUAAAUACUCCUGACUGACCGAUAGUGAACCAGUACCGUGAGGGAAAGGCGAAAAGAACCCCGGCGAGGGGAGUGAAAUAGAACCUGAAACCGUGUACGUACAAGCAGUGGGAGCACCUUCGUGGUGUGACUGCGUACCUUUUGUAUAAUGGGUCAGCGACUUAUAUUUUGUAGCAAGGUUAACCGUAUAGGGGAGCCGUAGGGAAACCGAGUCUUAACUGGGCGAAUAGUUGCAAGGUAUAGACCCGAAACCCGGUGAUCUAGCCAUGGGCAGGUUGAAGGUUGGGUAACACUAACUGGAGGACCGAACCGACUAAUGUUGAAAAAUUAGCGGAUGACUUGUGGCUGGGGGUGAAAGGCCAAUCAAACCGGGAGAUAGCUGGUUCUCCCCGAAAGCUAUUUAGGUAGCGCCUCGUGAACUCAUCUUCGGGGGUAGAGCACUGUUUCGGCUAGGGGGCCAUCCCGGCUUACCAAACCGAUGCAAACUCCGAAUACCGAAGAAUGUUAUCACGGGAGACACACGGCGGGUGCUAACGUCCGUCGUGAAGAGGGAAACAACCCAGACCGCCAGCUAAGGUCCCAAAGUCAUGGUUAAGUGGGAAACGAUGUGGGAAGGCAUAGACAGCCAGGAUGUUGGCUUAGAAGCAGCCAUCAUUUAAAGAAAGCGUAAUAGCUCACUGGUCGAGUCGGCCUGCGCGGAAGAUGUAACGGGGCUAAACCAUGCACCGAAGCUGCGGCAGCGACGCUUAGGCGUUGUUGGGUAGGGGAGCGUUCUGUAAGCCGUUGAAGGUGGCCUGUGAGGGUUGCUGGAGGUAUCAGAAGUGCGAAUGCUGACAUAAGUAACGAUAAAGCGGGUGAAAAGCCCGCUCGCCGGAAGACCAAGGGUUCCUGUCCAACGUUAAUCGGGGCAGGGUGAGUCGACCCCUAAGGCGAGGCUGAAAAGCGUAGUCGAUGGGAAACAGGUUAAUAUUCCUGUACUUGGUGUUACUGCGAAGGGGGGACGGAGAAGGCUAGGCUAGCCGGGCGACGGUUGUCCCGGUUUAAGCGUGUAGGGGGUGUGACCUGGUAAAUCCGGUU
This 1511-nucleotide ribosomal RNA is filed under the name Serratia marcescens. RNAcentral describes it as "bacterial LSU rRNA". It matches the Rfam family "Bacterial large subunit ribosomal RNA", at positions 1 to 1547 of the family's 2925-position model. Lineage: Bacteria; Pseudomonadati; Pseudomonadota; Gammaproteobacteria; Enterobacterales; Yersiniaceae. The record is from RNAcentral.